UGAAGGUCAGACAUGUUAAUUUUUCAAAAUAAGAUUAAUAAAGUAUUAAUCACGUACCUGUUAACACUCUCAAACAAUUCCCAUCUCUUUAAGUUUCAGGAUUUCCUACCAUUGAUCCAGAAGAUCACAAAGACUGUAGUCCUGCCCCCUCUCUCUCCCAAAUUACACCAUGGAUCAUCAUUGCCAUCUUAUUGAUGCUUCUCUUGUUGGUAGUGGGACGACAUCACUUUCACAGAUUUGCAUGUAGCAGAGAUGCUAGUUCACGGUCACAGAUAGAACCUGAUUCAAGGUCAUCAGAGCAUCAGACAGUCUCCGUACAGGCCAGUGCACCUGCAGCAAGCCAACCUAUGUAUGCUACUGUAACCAAGACCAGGAAGAAGAAGGAUAAAGAUGGAGUGUCAGCCAUUUAUUACGCUUUGGGCCAAAAUGGUGCUCCACAGC
Long non-coding RNA from Mugil cephalus (flathead mullet), 441 nucleotides. RefSeq lists it as uncharacterized. The transcript is spliced from 4 exons. Lineage: Eukaryota; Metazoa; Chordata; Actinopteri; Mugiliformes; Mugilidae. The record is from RefSeq and is a predicted model, not a curated record.